UUAAACUCCCCUGUCAAAACAAAGACAGUUCAUUUAUCCUGCUCACUAAUAAACUCUCCUGUCAAAACAAAGACAGUUCAUUUAUCCUGCUCACUAAUAAACUCUCCUGUCAAAGACCAGUCAGUUAAUUUAUCCUGCUCACUAAUACACUCUCCUGUCAAAGACCAGUCAGUUCAUUUAUCCUGCUCACUAAUAAACUCUCCUGUCAAAGACCAGUCAGUUCAUUUAUCCUGCUCACUAAUAAACUCUCUUGUCAAAGACCAGUCAGUUCAUUUAUCCUGCUCACUAAUAAACUCUCCUGUCAAAGACCAGUCAGUUAAUUUAUCCUGCUCACUAAUAAACUCUCCUCUCAAAGACCAGUCAGUUCAUUUAUCCCGCUCACUAAUAAACUCUCCUGUCAAAGACCAGUCAGUUCAUUUAUCCUGCUCACUAAUAAACUCUCUUGUCAAAACAAAGACAGUUCAUUUAUCCUGCUCACUAAUAAACUCUCCUGUCAAAGACCAGUCAGUUAAUUUAUCCUGCUCACUAAUACACUCUUCUGUCAAAGACCAGUCAGUUAAUUUAUCCUGCUCACUAAUAAACUCUCCUGUCAAAGACCAGUCAGUUCAUUUAUCCUGCUCACUAAUAAACUCUCUUGUCAAAGACCAGUCAGUUCAUUUAUCCUGCUCACUAAUAAACUCUCCUGUCAAAGACCAGUCAGUUAAUUUAUCCUGCUCACUAAUAAACUCUCCUGUCAAAGACCAGUCAGUUCAUUUAUCCCGCUCACUAAUAAACUCUCCUGUCAAAGACCAGUCAGUUCAUUUAUCCUGCUCACUAAUAAACUCUCCUGUCAAAGACCAGUCAGUUCAUUUAUCCUGCUCACUAAUAAACUCUCCUGUCAAAGACCAGUCAGUUAAUUUAUCCCGCUCACUAAUAAACUCUCCUGUCAAAGACCAGUCAGUUCAUUUAUCCUGCUCACUAAUAAACUCCCCUGUCAAAACAAAGACCAGUCAGUUCAUUUAUCCUGCUCACUAAUAAACUCCCCAGUCAAAACAAAGACAGGUCAGUUAUACAUUUUAAAAGAUAGUUUGUUUUGUUGAGUCUUGGCAUAAUUCAGUUACUAUGGAAUUGACCACUAGGCAUUAAGAGUUUGAAAUAAGUUUAUUAUUUCAGAAAUGUAAAUACUGUGGACCUGUCUACCAGGGUUAGGGUCAACUCCAUUUAUCUAGCUAGGGACCCGUCUACCAGGGUUAGGGUCAACUCCAUUUAUCUAGCUAGGGACCCGUCUACCAGGGUUUGGGUCAACUCCAUUUAUCUAGCUAGGGACCCGUCUACCAGGGUUUGGGCCAAUUCCAUUUAUCUAGCUAGGGACCCGUCUACCAGGGUUUGGGUCAACUCCAUUUAUCUAGCUAGGGACCCGUCUACCAGGGUUUGGGUCAACUCCAUUUAUCUAGCUAGGGACCCGUCUACCAGGGUUAGGGUCAACUCCAUUUAUCUAGCUAGGGACCCGUCUACCAGGGUUUGGGUCAACUCCAUUUAUCUAGCUAAUGACCCGUCUACCAGGGUUUGGGUCAACUCCAUUUAUCUAGCUAGGGACCCGUCUACCAGGGUUUGGGUCAACUCCAUUUAUCUAGCUAGGGACCCGUCUACCAGGGUUUGGGUCAACUCCAUUUAUCUAGCUAGGGACCCGUCUACCAGGGUUUGGGCCAAUUCCAUUUAUCUAGCUAGGGACCCGUCUACCAGGGUCAGGGUCAACUCCAUUUAUCUAGCUAGGGACCCGUCUACCAGGGUUAGGGUCAACUCCAUUUAUCUAGCUAGGGACCCGUCUACCAGGGUUUGGGUCAACUCCAUUUAUCUAGCUAGGGACCCGUCUACCAGGGUUAGGGUAAAUUCCAUUUAUAUAGCUAGGGACCCGUCUACCAGGGUUAGGGUCAACUCCAUUUAUAUAGCUAGGGACCCGUCUACCAGGGUUUGGGUCAAUUCCAAUUUCAUUCAGGAAAUACACUAAAAAGGUUUUUCCAUUCAGAAUGGUUUUUAUUUGUUUUUUAAAGGAAUUUUGUUAACUUUCUGAGAUAGAUUGGAAUUGACAGCGUUGGACCAGUCAGUAACCGAAAGGUCGCUAGGUCAGAUCCCCGAGCUGACCAGAUAAAAAUAUAUAUAUAAUCUAUCGAUGGGCCCUUGAGCAAGGCACUUAAACCCUAAUUGCUCCUGUAAGUGGCUCUGCAUAAGAGCAUCUAAAAUGUCCAACAAAAUGAAAAAAAAUAAUAAUGUAAAUGUAGAAAAGUAACUUGCCACACACACCAACCAACACAUGGGAUUGGACAGUCAAACUGUCCAUUAAAAUAGCAGCCAACCGGUGUCACUGGUGAUAUCCUGCGCCGCGUCGUGAUUCGUUUACGUUCACAAACAAACAAAAAGCGGUCUGUUACCUUUACUGUAACGGCAGCCUUCAAAAUAUAGAUAUGAGCCUUCGACAAGUGCUCCUCUAACCAACCACCAACCAGCAUUUCACUCACGCUUGUGAAUAAAAAAAAUAGUAAAGUAUGAUCACAUGUAUAGUAAAGUAUGAUCACAUGUAUAGUAAAGUAUGAUCACAUUUAUAGUAACGUAUGGUCACAUUUAUAGUAAAGUAUGAUCACAUUUAUAGUAAAGUAUGAUCACAUGUAUAGCAAAGUAUGAUCACAUGUAUAGUAAAGUAUGAUCCCAUGUAUAGUAAAGUAUGAUCCCAUGUAUAGUAAAGUAUGAUCCCAUGUAUAGUAAAGUAUGAUCCCAUGUAUAGUAAAGUAUGAUCACAUGUAUAGUAAAGUAUGAUCACAUGUAUAGUAAAGUAUGAUCACAUUUAUAGUAAAGUAUGAUCACAUUUAUAAUAAAGUAUGAUCACAUUUAUAGUAACGCAUGAUCACAUUUAUAGUAACGCAUGAUCACAUUUAUAGUAACGCAUGAUCACAUGUAUAGUAACGCAUGAUCACAUGUAUAGUAAAGUAUGAUCACAUGUAUAGUAAAGUAUGAUCGCAUGUAUAGUAAAGUAUGAUCGCAUUUAUAAUAAAGUAUGAUCACAUUUAUAGUAACGCAUGAUCACAUUUAUAGUAACGCAUGAUCACAUUUAUAGUAACGCAUGAUCACAUUUAUAGUAACGCAUGAUCACAUGUAUAGUAAUGUAUGAUCGCAUGUAUAGUAAAGUAUGAUCGCAUGUAUAGUAAAGUAUGAUCGCAUUUAUAGUAAAGUAUGAUCACAUGUAUAGUAAAGUAUGAUCGCAUGUAUAGUAAAGUAUGAUCGCAUUUAUAGUAAAGUAUGAUCACAUGUAUAGUAUGAUCGCAUUUAUAGUAAUGUAUGAUCACAUUUAUAGUAAAGUAUGAUCACAUGUAUAGUAAAGUAUGAUCACAUGUAUAGUAAAGUAUGAUCACAUGUAUAGUAAAGUAUGAUCACAUGUAUAGUAAAGUAUGAUCGCAUUUAUAGUAAAGUAUGAUCACAUUUAUAGUAAAGUAUGAUCACAUGUAUAGUAAAGUAUGAUCACGUGUAUAGUAAAGUAUGAUCACAUGUAUAGUAAAGUAUGAUCGCAUUUAUAGUAAAGUAUGAUCACAUGUAUAGUAAAGUAUGAUCACAUGUAUAGUAAAGUAUGAUCACAUGUAUAGUAAAGUAUGAUCGCAUUUAUAGUAAAGUAUGAUCACAUUUAUAGUAAAGUAUGAUCACAUGUAUAGUAAAGUAUGAUCACGUGUAUAGUAAAGUAUGAUCACAUGUAUAGUAAAGUAUGAUCACAUCUAUAGUAAAGUAUGAUCACAUGUAUAGUAAAGUAUGAUCGCAUUUAUAGUAAAGUAUGAUCACAUGUAUAGUAUGAUCGCAUUUAUAGUAAUGUAUGAUCACAUUUAUAGUAAAGUAUGAUCACAUGUAUAGUAAAGUAUGAUCACAUGUAUAGUAAAGUAUGAUCACAUGUAUAGUAAAGUAUGAUCACAUGUAUAGUAAAGUAUGAUCGCAUUUAUAGUAAAGUAUGAUCACAUUUAUAGUAAAGUAUGAUCACAUGUAUAGUAAAGUAUGAUCACGUGUAUAGUAAAGUAUGAUCACAUGUAUAGUAAAGUAUGAUCGCAUUUAUAGUAAAGUAUGAUCACAUGUAUAGUAAAGUAUGAUCACAUGUAUAGUAAAGUAUGAUCACAUGUAU
Molecule: long non-coding RNA, 4132 nt
Filed under: Oncorhynchus mykiss (rainbow trout)
Lineage: Eukaryota; Metazoa; Chordata; Actinopteri; Salmoniformes; Salmonidae
Description: lncRNA (ENSOMYG00000072401.1)
Source: RNAcentral